RNAcentral lists this ribosomal RNA (445 nucleotides) under uncultured bacterium. Its description in RNAcentral is "partial 16S ribosomal RNA". It matches the Rfam family "Bacterial small subunit ribosomal RNA", at positions 354 to 796 of the family's 1533-position model. The record is from RNAcentral.
GUAGGGAAUAUUGGGCAAUGGAGGCAACUCUGACCCAGCCAUGCCGCGUGCAGGAUGACGGCCCUCUGGGUUGUAAACUGCUUUUAUACGGGAAGAAAAAAUACUACGUGUAGUAUACUGACGGUACCGCAAGAAUAAGGAUCGGCUAACUCCGUGCCAGCAGCCGCGGUAAUACGGAGGAUCCAAGCGUUGUCCGGAUUUAUUGGGUUUAAAGGGUGCGUAGGCGGAUCUUUAAGUCAGUGGUGAAAGCCUGCAGCUUAACUGUAGAAUUGCCAUUGAAACUGAAGAUCUUGAAUGUGGUUAAAGUAGGCGGAAUGUAUCAUGUAGCGGUGAAAUGCUUAGAUAUGAUACAGAACACCGAUAGCGAAGGCAGCUUGCUGAACCAUUAUUGACGCUGAGGCACGAAAGCGUGGGGAGCGAACAGGAUUAGAAACCCGAGUAGUCC